RNAcentral lists this ribosomal RNA (406 nucleotides) under uncultured bacterium. Its description in RNAcentral is "partial 16S ribosomal RNA". It matches the Rfam family "Bacterial small subunit ribosomal RNA", at positions 30 to 526 of the family's 1533-position model. The record is from RNAcentral.
AUUGAACGCUGGCGGCAGGCCUAACACAUGCAAGUCGAACGAGUGGCGGACGGGUGAGUAAUGUCUGGGAAACUGCCUGAUGUAGGGGGAUAACGACUGGAAACGGUAGCUAAUACCGCAUACCAUCAGAUGUGCCCAGAUGGGAUUAGCUAGUAGGUGGGGUAAUGGCUCACCUAGGCGACGCUCCCUAGCUGGUCUGAGAGGAUGAUCAGCCACACUGGAACUGAGACACGGUCCAGACUCCUACGGGAGGCAGCAGUGGGGAAUAUUGCACAAUGGGCGAAAGCCUGAUGCAGCCAUGCCGCGUGUAUGAAGAAGGCCUUCGGGUUGUAAAGUACUUUCAGCGAGGAGGCGUUACUCGCAGAAGAAGCACCGGCUAACUCCGUGCCAGCAGCCGCGGUAAUAC